RNAcentral lists this non-coding RNA (32 nucleotides) under Geobacter sulfurreducens PCA. The record is from RNAcentral. Lineage: Bacteria; Pseudomonadati; Thermodesulfobacteriota; Desulfuromonadia; Geobacterales; Geobacteraceae.
GGUUUCUACGGCCAGUACCGGGGCGAAAAGAA